RNAcentral lists this ribosomal RNA (537 nucleotides) under Fermentozyma sake. RNAcentral's name for it is "eukaryotic LSU rRNA". It matches the Rfam family "Eukaryotic large subunit ribosomal RNA", at positions 89 to 650 of the family's 3401-position model. The record is from RNAcentral. Lineage: Eukaryota; Fungi; Ascomycota; Pichiomycetes; Serinales; Debaryomycetaceae.
GCGAGUGAAGCGGCAAAAGCUCAAAUUUGAAAUCUGCGUAAGCCGAGUUGUAAUUUGAAGAUGGCUACUUUGGUAAUGGCUCUUGUCUAUGUUCCUUGGAACAGGACGUCACAGAGGGUGAGAAUCCCGUGCGAUGAGAUGUCCAUUACCGUGUAAAGUGCUUUCGAAGAGUCGAGUUGUUUGGGAAUGCAGCUCUAAGUGGGUGGUAAAUUCCAUCUAAAGCUAAAUAUUGGCGAGAGACCGAUAGCGAACAAGUACAGUGAUGGAAAGAUGAAAAGAACUUUGAAAAGAGAGUGAAAAAGUACGUGAAAUUGUUGAAAGGGAAGGGCUUGAGAUCAGACUUGGUAUUUUGUAUGGCUUGCUUUCGGGCGGGUCCUCUGCAGUUUACUGGGCCAGCAUCGGUUUGGGUGGCAGGAUAAUAGCAUAGGAAUGUGGCUCUACUUCGGUGGAGUGUUAUAGCCUUUGUUGAUACUGCCUGCCUAGACCGAGGACUGCGUCUUUUGACUAGGAUGCUGGCAUAAUGAUCCUAAGCCGCCC